Molecule: ribosomal RNA, 1284 nt
Filed under: metagenome
Description: bacterial SSU rRNA
Rfam family: Archaeal small subunit ribosomal RNA
Source: RNAcentral
ACUAACACGUAGCUAACCUGCCCUAUGGUUGAGGAUACAGUCGGGAAACUGACCAUAAGACUCAAUAGGAGAUGCACUCUGGAAAGAAGCAUCUUUUAAAUUCGAGCCAUAGGAUGGGGGUGCGGCUGAUUAGGUUGUUGGCGGGGUAACUGCCCACCAAGCCGAUGAUCAGUAAGGGCCUUUAGCGAGGAAGCCCUGAGAAGGACUCUGAGACACUAGUCCUAGCCCUACGGGGUGCAGCAGGUAGGCAUAUUCUGCAAUGCGCGCAAGCGUGACAGAGCAAGCCAGAGUGUUUUUCUAUUUUAAUGAAAAACUUUUGCCAGCUUUAAAAAGGCUGGCGAAUAAGGACCGGGCAAGACUGGUGCCAGCCGCCGCGGUAAUCCCAGCGGUCCAAGUCGCAACCACAAUUAUUGGGUCUAAAACAUCCGUAGCUUGUUUGUUAAGUUUCUUGUGAAAUUCUGUCUCUUAAGGGCAGAGCGUGCAAGAAAUACUGGCGAACUUGAGACCGGAAGACGUAAGGAGUAUGAUUGAGGUAGUAGUAAAAUACGUUGAUCUUAAUCAGACUAACAACAGCGAAGGCACCUUACGAGUACGGAUCUGACAGUGAGGGAUGAAGGCUAGGGGCGCAAAAGGGAUUAGAUACCCCUGUAGUCCUAGCAGUAAACACUGCACACUAAACAUUAGUACCUCCUCGAGAGGUAUUAGUGCUGUAGGGAAGCUGAAGAGUGUGCUACCUGGGAAGUAUAGUCGCAAGACCGAAACUUAAAGGAAUUGGCGGGGGAGCACUACAACGGGUGACGCGUACGGUUCAAUUAGAUUCUACACCGUGAACCUCACCAGGAGCGACAACAGAAUGAAGGUCAGUCUGAAGGGCUUACCUGACACGCUGAGAGGAGGUGCAUGGCCGACGUCAGCCUGUGUCGUGAGAUGACCUGUUAAAUCAGGUAACAGGCGAGACCCGUGUGCAUAUUUGCUAUCUGAUAAAGAAGCGCAAUAUGCAGACUGCCUUGGUAACAAGGAGGAAGGUGCGGGCUACGUUAGGUGAGUACGCCCCGAAUCCCCUGGGCUACACGCGCGCGGCAAUGCCGAAAUCAGUGAGAUGCAACUCCGAGAGGAGAAGCUAAUCCCAUAAACUUCAGCUCAGUUCAGAUUGUCGGCUGUAACUUGCCGACAUGACGCUGGAAUCCGUAGUAAUCGUUUAUUAGCAAUGAACGGUGAAUAAGUCCCUGCUCCUUGCACACACCGCCCGUCAAACCAACCGAGUUAUGCCGUGGUGAGACUCUU